RNAcentral lists this ribosomal RNA (493 nucleotides) under uncultured bacterium. Its description in RNAcentral is "bacterial SSU rRNA". It matches the Rfam family "Bacterial small subunit ribosomal RNA", at positions 33 to 507 of the family's 1533-position model. The record is from RNAcentral.
ACGACGCUGGCGGCGUGCCUAAUACAUGCAAGUCGAGCGGACCAAAGGGAGCUUGCUCCUGGAGGUCAGCGGCGAACGGGUGAGUAACACGUGGGCAACCUGCCUGUAAGACUGGGAUAACAUCGAGAAAUCGGUGCUAAUACCGGAUAAUAAAAAGAACUGCAUGGUUCUUUUUGAAAGAUGGUUUCGGCUAUCACUUACAGAUGGGCCCGCGACGCAUUAGCUAGUUGGUGAGGUAACGGCUCACCAAGGCAACGAUGCGUAGCCGACCUGAGAGGGUGAUCGGCCACACUGGGACUGAGACACGGCCCAGACUCCUACGGGAGGCAGCAGUAGGGAAUCUUCCGCAAUGGACGAAAGUCUGACGGAGCAACGCCGCGUGAGUGAUGAAGGUUUUCGGAUCGUAAAACUCUGUUGUUAGGGAAGAACAAGUGCCGUUCGAAAGGGCGGCACCUUGACGGUACCUAACGAGAAAGCCACGGCUAACUACGUG